RNAcentral lists this ribosomal RNA (1749 nucleotides) under metagenome. Its description in RNAcentral is "bacterial LSU rRNA". It matches the Rfam family "Bacterial large subunit ribosomal RNA", at positions 1010 to 2820 of the family's 2925-position model. The record is from RNAcentral.
GUGAAGAGGGAAACAACCCUGACCUCCAGCUAAGGCCCCUAAUUCAUGGCUAAGUGGGAAAGCAGGUGAGACGGCCAAAACAACCAGGAGGUUGGCUUAGAAGCAGCCAUCCUUUAAAGAUAGCGUAACAGCUCACUGGUCUAAAUAAGCUGUCUUGCGGCGAAGAUGUAACGGGGCUCAAGCCAUGAGCCGAAGCUGAGGAUGCACAUAGUGCAUGGUAGCGGAGCGUAGUGUGACAUAGUUCCAUGCGUCUUUAGCCUUCUUCGGAAGGCGUUGGACGCAAGGAGCUUUCAGUGAAGCGGGCGCGUGAGCGAUCCCGUGGAGAGAUCACUAGUGAGAAUGAUGACAUGAGUAGCGACAAACAGGGUGAGAGACCCUGUCGCCGAAAGUCCAAGGGUUCCUGCUUAAAGCUAAUCUGAGCAGGGUAAGCCGGCCCCUAAGUCGAGGCAGAAAUGCGUAGACGAUGGGAACCACGUUAAUAUUCGUGGGCCAGGAGGAUGUGACGGAUCAUGAAGGUUGUUCACUCUUAUUGGAUUGAGUGGGCCGCUAAUUGGUUCCUGGAAAUAGCCCUCCAUCAGACCGUACCCUAAACCAACACAGGUGGACUGGUAGAGAAUACCAAGGCGCUUGAGAGAACUAUCUUGAAGGAACUCGGCAAAAUACCUCCGUAAGUUCGCGAGAAGGAGGCCCAGUGUUUACGCAAGUAGAUACUGGGGGCACAAACUAGGGGGUGGCGACUGUUUACUAAAAACACAGGGCUCUGCGAAGUCGCAAGACGACGUAUAGGGUCUGACGCCUGCCCGGUGCCUGAAGGUUAAAAGGAGGGGUGAGAGCUCUGAAUUGAAGCCCAGGUAAACGGCGGCCGUAACUAUAACGGUCCUAAGGUAGCGAAAUUCCUUGUCGGGUAAGUUCCGACCUGCACGAAUGGCGUAACGACUUCCCCGCUGUCUCCAAGAUAGACUCAGCGAAAUUGAAUUGCCUGUCAAGAUGCAGGCUUCCCGCGGUUAGACGGAAAGACCCCGUGCACCUUUACUACAGCUUCACAUUGGCAUUAGGCCGAGCAUGUGCAGGAUAGGUGGUGGGCUUUGAAGCGUGAACGCCAGUUUGCGUGGAGCCUCCCUUGAGAUACCACCCUUGCUCUGCUUGAUGUCUAACCGCGGUCCAUUAUCUGGAUCCGGGACCCUGUGUGGCGGGUAGUUUGACUGGGGCGGUCGCCUCCUAAAGCGUAACGGAGGCGCGCGAAGGUUGGCUCAGAGCGGUCGGAAAUCGCUCGUUGAGUGCAAUGGCAGAAGCCAGCCUGACUGCAAGACUGACAAGUCGAGCAGAGUCGAAAGACGGCCAUAGUGAUCCGGUGGUCCCGAGUGGAAGGGCCAUCGCUCAACGGAUAAAAGGUACGCCGGGGAUAACAGGCUGAUACUGCCCAAGAGUCCAUAUCGACGGCAGUGUUUGGCACCUCGAUGUCGGCUCAUCUCAUCCUGGGGCUGGAGCAGGUCCCAAGGGUACGGCUGUUCGCCGUUUAAAGAGGUACGUGAGCUGGGUUUAGAACGUCGUGAGACAGUUCGGUCCCUAUCUGCCGUGGGUGUAGGAUACUUGAGAGGAGUUGCCCCUAGUACGAGAGGACCGGGGUGAACGAUCCACUGGUGUACCAGUUGUUCCGCCAGGAGCAGUGCUGGGUAGCUAUGAUCGGACAGGAUAACCGCUGAAGGCAUCUAAGCGGGAAGCCCCCCUCAAAACAAGGUAUCCCUGAGG